This 73-nucleotide transfer RNA is filed under the name Fidelibacterota bacterium CG1_02_48_14. Its description in RNAcentral is "Candidatus Marinimicrobia bacterium CG1_02_48_14 tRNA-Thr". It matches the Rfam family "tRNA". From Rfam's summary of the family: Transfer RNA (tRNA) molecules are approximately 80 nucleotides in length. The record is from RNAcentral. RNAcentral also lists the same sequence under 1 other name. Lineage: Bacteria; Pseudomonadati; Fidelibacterota.
GCUCGGGUAGCUCAGUUGGUAGAGCACCUCCUUGGUAAGGAGAAGGUCGGCGGUUCAAAUCCGCUCCCGAGCU